This 1850-nucleotide long non-coding RNA is filed under the name Olea europaea (common olive). Its description in RNAcentral is "long non-coding RNA (OEUR_LNC007001)". The record is from RNAcentral. Lineage: Eukaryota; Viridiplantae; Streptophyta; Magnoliopsida; Lamiales; Oleaceae.
AGACUUUUUCCAGAUCUUUGAUUUAUUGCAGUUAUCACUCCCAAUCUUUUCAAACGUUGUAGGUGAGGUCUUUUGGACGAUUUUCAUCCACAAUUCCGUUAGUUGACCAGAAAUUUAACUUUAACCAUAUUUUUAAUAUUUUAAGAAUGGGUAAAAGAAUAACUUUCUAUUUAUAAAAUGAUUACAUUUAUAAAAUUAAAAAUAAGAAAAAACAAAACAACCCUCUUCUUCCUCUCAUCCCCCACCCCGCACCCCUACCUCAAAUCCUUAGCCAACCGAAAAUGCAGAACACAACAAUUGCAUUCUCCCCUUCCUUUUUCUCUCUACGAAGUCUCAAAAGGCCACCUCUCUCUACAGAUUCAAUCUCAUUUCUCUCACCCCGUCGAAACAGCUCUAUUUAAAGAAUCGUCGGGUGUCAGGCUCAUACUUCUUCUAGUCGUAAAGUGGGUUUAAUUAUCUGUUCUUUGAGACCCAAUGGGUGGAUUUCGAACCAAAAGAGCAGAAUUCUUUCAUUCUGAUUGGUAAUGGCAUCAUCAUCGAUUGCGAAUCCUAAAGCAAACUCAAAUCCAUUGUUGAAAAAGAGAAGAAAAAUCGGGGUGGAAACUCGGGCUCAAAUUCAUUCUAAGGAGAUGAGAUGAAGAUGGAAGACAUAGGCGAAGCAACAGAUCUACUCGUCGAAGCUUUUAAAUGCCCUCUACAAUCUUCAUGCACCUUGUUUCCACCACAGCAUUCGGGUAACUCUGCUAAGGCCGGACUCGAUGGAGCAGGGUAAUUCUCAUCGGUUGACUCAAUCGAUGACUCGCUUAGUUCAACAGGAAAAUUAUCUGUUCUUUGAGACCCAAUGGGUGCAAAGGCAUUAGCUCUUUGAGAAGCUCUUCGGUUUGCCCAGAGUUCGGAUCUUCUCAUGGCUAAGGUGGAAUGUGGUGGAGGUUGUUCAGUGGUGAUUGUGAUGGGGUGAAUGGUGGUAGUCGGUGGCAGGAGGUUGGUGGAGGUGGCGAAUGUCGAGUUACUGAGGGUUUGACGUGGGGUGGGGGAUGAGAGCAAGAAGAUGAUUGUUUUUUUUUUUCUUAUUUUUUAAUUUAAUAAAAUGUAAUUAUUUGAUAUGAUAAAUGAAAAGUUACUCUCGUGUCCCUUUUUAAAAUAUUAAAAAUGUGGUCGAAGAUAAAUUUCUUGUCAAUCGACGGAAUUAUAGAUGGAAACAUUCAAAAGGCUCUCAUCUACAACGUUUAGAAAGGUUAUGGACGACAGCUGCAAUAAAUCAAAGGUUCAAAAAUAGUUUGCUAGUGUUUCAAAAGUUUGGAACUUUUACUGUAAUUAUCCCUUUCGAAAAUUAUGGCAAAAUUUUAGACUCUAUGAUUUAGCUCCUAUUUGAAUCUCAUUAAUUUCCUUUCCAUUACAUUUAAUUUUUCUCCCUCUUAUUUUUAAAAACACAAUUUUUCAUAAAAUAAUAUUACACGUAAAUCGAAAAUUUUUCAUUCUUUUUCAAAAACUCAUUUUUCAAAAAAUAUUAUUCAACCCAUUUUCGUUUUCAAAAAAGGAGGCUUAAGAUGUAAUGAAGACGGCAAAGGGAAGGAGAGCAAGCCUUGGCUCUAGCUUAGCCCAACCCCCUAUAUAUCAAUUCAGUAGAAAUGUUUUUCUUUAUCUAUCUUGACUCUACCCUUAAGAAAGGGUCAAUCAUGCUCUUUCAAUCGUUAUAAAACUCUUGUUUGAAUUUUAUUUUUUUUUUAAAAAGAUUUUUAAACAGUAUAUUGAUAAAAAAUAUAUAAUUAAAAUAUAAAAAAAAAUUUUAAAUUUACAUGUAAUAUUGCCCUUGUAUGAGCCCCAUUUUUUGAGAAGAAUGAAUUUUUAAA